ACACACUGCGGAUGCUAACGUCCGUAGUGGAGAGGGAAACAACCCUGACCCUCAGCUAAGGCCCCUAAUUCAUGGCUAAGUGGGAAAGCAGGUGGGACGACCAAAACAACCAGGAAGUUGGCUUAGAAGCAGCCAUCUUUUAAAGAUAGCGUAACAGCUCACUGGUCUAAUUUAAGUUAUCCUGCGGCGAAGAUGUACCGGGGCUCAAGCCAUGAGCCGAAGCUAGGGAUGCAAUUUAUUGCAUGGUAGCGGAGCGUUCUGUGAUAUAGAACGCUGCGUCUUUAGUAUCUUAGGAUAUUGUGGACGCAAUGUUCUGACUGUGAAGCCGGCGCGUAAGCGAUCCGGUGGAGUGAUCAGAAGUGAGAAUGUUGACAUGAGUAGCGACAAACAGGGUGAGAGACCCUGUCGCCGAAAGUCCAAGGGUUCCUGCUUAAAGCUAAUCUGAGCAGGGUAAGCCGACCCCUAAGGCGAGGCCGAAAGGCGUAGUCGAUGGGAACCAGUUUAAUAUUACUGGGCCAGGAGAUGGUGACGGAUCGAAAGCGUAGUGACUCCUUAUCGGAUUGAAGUUGCUGCCGGACGGUUCCUGGAAAUAGCCCUCCAUUAGAUCGUACCCUAAACCAACACAGGUGGACUGGUAGAGAAUACCAAGGCGCUUGAGAGAACUACAUUGAAGGAACUCGGCAAAAUGCCUCCGUAAGUUCGCGAGAAGGAGGCCCCAUCAGAAGGCAACUUUUGGUGGGGGGCACAGACCAGGGGGUGGCGACUGUUUACUAAAAACACAGGGCUCUGCGAAGUCGUAAGACGACGUAUAGGGUCUGACGCCUGCCCGGUGCUGGAAGGUUAAGAGGAGGUGUGCAAGCACUGAAUUGAAGCCCCAGUAAACGGCGGCCGUAACUAUAACGGUCCUAAGGUAGCGAAAUUCCUUGUCGGGUAAGUUCCGACCUGCACGAAUGGCGUAACGACUUCCCCGCUGUCUCCAAUGUAGACUCAGCGAAAUUGAAUUGCCUGUUAAGAUGCAGGCUUCCCGCGGUUAGACGGAAAGACCCCGUGCACCUUUACUACAGCUUCACACUGGCAUUAGGUCAGACGUGUGCAGGAUAGGUGGUAGGCUUUGAAACUCGGACGCUAGUUCGGGUGGAGCCUCCCUUGAGAUACCACCCCUGUCUGUCUUGAUGUCUAACCGCGGUCCGUUAUCCGGAUCCGGGACCCUGUGUGGCGGGUAGUUUGACUGGGGCGGUCGCCUCCUAAAGAGUAACGGAGGCGCGCGAUGGUUGGCUCAGACCGGUCGGAAAUCGGUCGUCGAGUGCAAUGGCAUAAGCCAGCCUGACUGUGAGUCUGACAAGACGAGCAGAGACGAAAGUCGGUCAUAGUGAUCCGGUGGUCCCGAGUGGAAGGGCCAUCGCUCAACGGAUAAAAGGUACGCCGGGGAUAACAGGCUGAUACUGCCCAAGAGUCCAUAUCGACGGCAGUGUUUGGCACCUCGAUGUCGGCUCAUCUCAUCCUGGGGCUGGAGCAGGUCCCAAGGGUAUGGCUGUUCGCCAUUUAAAGAGGUACGUGAGCUGGGUUUAGAACGUCGUGAGACAGUUCGGUCCCUAUCUGCCGUGGGUGUAGGAGACUUGAUGGGAGUUGCCCCUAGUACGAGAGGACCGGGGUGAACGAUCCACUGGUGGAUCUGUUGUUGCGCCAGCAGCAGUGCAGAGUAGCUAUGAUCGGACAGGAUAACCGCUGAAGGCAUCUAAGCGGGAAGCCCCCCCAGAAACAAGGUCUCCCUUGA
RNAcentral lists this ribosomal RNA (1774 nucleotides) under seawater metagenome. RNAcentral describes it as "bacterial LSU rRNA". It matches the Rfam family "Bacterial large subunit ribosomal RNA", at positions 984 to 2819 of the family's 2925-position model. The record is from RNAcentral.